GACGAACGCUGGCGGCGUGCUUAACACAUGCAAGUCGAACGGAAAGGCCCUGCUUUUGUGGGUUGCUCGAGUGGCGAACGGGUGAGGAACACUUGAGUAACCUCCCCUUGACUUUGGGAUAACUUCAAGCAACUGGGGCUAAGACCGGAAAGGAGCUCCUGCUGCAUGGUGGGGGUAGGAAAGUUUCGGCGGUUGGGGAUGGACUCGCGGCUUAUCAGCUUGUUGGUGGGGUAGUGGCUUACCAAGGCUUUGACGGGUAGCCGGCCUGAGAGGGUGACCGGCCACAUUGGGACUGAGAUACGGCCCAGACUCCUACGGGAGGCAGCAGUGGGGAAUAUUGCACAAUGGGCGGAAGCCUGAUGCAGCAACGCCGCGUGCGGGAUGACGGCCUUCGGGUUGUAAACCGCUUUCGCCUGUGACGAAGCGUGAGUGACGGUAAUGGGUAAAGAAGCACCGGCUAACUACGUG
This 468-nucleotide ribosomal RNA is filed under the name uncultured bacterium. Its description in RNAcentral is "partial 16S ribosomal RNA". It matches the Rfam family "Bacterial small subunit ribosomal RNA", at positions 28 to 507 of the family's 1533-position model. The record is from RNAcentral.